This 440-nucleotide ribosomal RNA is filed under the name uncultured bacterium. RNAcentral describes it as "partial 16S ribosomal RNA". It matches the Rfam family "Bacterial small subunit ribosomal RNA", at positions 338 to 795 of the family's 1533-position model. The record is from RNAcentral.
CCUACGGGUGUCUGCAGUGGGGCAUAUUGCACAAUGGGGGAAACCCUGAUGCAGCGACGCCGCGUGAGUGAAGAAGUAUCUCGGUAUGUAAAGCUCUAUCAGCAGGGACGAAAAUGACGGUACCUGAUUAAAAAGCCCCGGCUACCUACGUGCCAGCAGCCGCGGUAAUACGUAGGGGGCAAGCGUUAUCCGGAUUUACUGGGUGUAAAGGGGGCGUAGACGGCAGCACAAGUCUGGAGUGAAAUGCCGGGGAUUAACCCCGGAACUGCUGUGGAAACUGUGCGGCUAGAGUGCAGGAGAGGCAAGUGGAAUGCCUAGUGUAGCGGUGAAAUGCGUAGAUAUUAGGAGGAACACCAGUGGCGAAGGCGGAUUACUGGACUGUAACUGACGUUGAGGCUCGAAAGCGUGGGGAGCAAACAGGAUUAGAUACCCCAGUAGUC